AGUGAACGCUGGCGGCGUGCCUAAUACAUGCAAGUCGAACGGAAUUUAAAAGAGCUUGCUCUUUUAAAUUUAGUGGCGCACGGGUGAGUAAUAUAUAGCUAAUCUGCCCCUUGCUGGAGGACAACAGUUAGAAAUGACUGCUAAUACUCCAUACUCCUUUUUACCAUAAGAUAAAUCGGGAAAGAAUUUCGGCAAGGGAUGAGACUAUAUCGUAUCAGCUAGUCGGUGGGGUAACGGCCUACCGAGGCUAUGACGCGUAACUGGUCUGAGAGGAUGAUCAGUCACAUUGGAACUGAGACACGGUCCAAACUCCUACGGGAGGCAGCAGUAGGGAAUAUUGCGCAAUGGGGGAAACCCUGACGCAGCAACGCCGCGUGGAGGAUGACACUUUUCGGAGCGUAAACUCCUUUGUUAGGGAAAGAAU
This 424-nucleotide ribosomal RNA is filed under the name Campylobacter gracilis. RNAcentral describes it as "bacterial SSU rRNA". It matches the Rfam family "Bacterial small subunit ribosomal RNA", at positions 29 to 450 of the family's 1533-position model. Lineage: Bacteria; Pseudomonadati; Campylobacterota; Epsilonproteobacteria; Campylobacterales; Campylobacteraceae. The record is from RNAcentral.